UGGGGAAUUUUGCACAAUGGGGGAAACCCUGAUGCAGCGACGCCGCGUGAUUUAGAAGGCCUUCGGGUUGUAAAAAUCUUUUCUAUGGGAAGAAAAUGACAGUACCAUAGGAAUACGGACCGGCUAAUUACGUGCCAGCAGCCGCGGUAAUACGUAAGGUCCGAGCGUUGUCCGGAAUCAUUGGGCGUAAAGGGUACGUAGGCGGGUAAGCAAGUUAGAAGUGAAAUCCUAUAGCUCAACUAUAGUAAGCUUUUAAAACUGCUCAUCUUGAGGUAUGGAAGGGAAAGUGGAAGUACUAGUGUAGCGGUGAAAUGCGCAGAGAUUAGGAGGAAUACCGGUGGCGAAGGCGACUUUCUGGCCAUAACCUGACGAUGAGGUACGAAAGCGUGGGUAGCAAACAGG
This 402-nucleotide ribosomal RNA is filed under the name bacterium. RNAcentral describes it as "partial 16S ribosomal RNA". It matches the Rfam family "Bacterial small subunit ribosomal RNA", at positions 355 to 776 of the family's 1533-position model. The record is from RNAcentral.